GACGAACGCUGGCGGCGCGCUUAACACAUGCAAGUCGAACGGAAAGGCCUGCUUUCCCUCGUGGAUUGCGGGUACUCGAGUGGCGAACGGGUGAGUAACACGUGAGUGAUCUGCCCCCAACUUGGGUAUAAGCCUGGGAAACUGGGUCUAAUUCCCGAUAGGACUGCAGGGUGGUGCCUGUGGUGGAAAACGAUUUUCUAGUGGUUGGGGAUGAGCUCGCGGCCUAUCAGCUGGUUGGUGGGGUAAUGGCCUACCAAGGCGGCGACGGGUAGCCGGCCUGGGAGGGUGGACGGCCACAUUGGGACUGAGAUACGGCCCAGACUCCUACGGGAGGCAGCAGUGGGGAAUAUUGCACAAUGGGCGGAAGCCUGAUGCAGCGACGCCGCGUGGGGGAUGACGGCCUUCGGGUUGUAAACUCCUUUCGACCGCGAGGAAGCCACCUGGUUGGAAGGGUGGUGACGGUAGUGGUAGAAGAAGCACCGGCUAACUACGUG
This 494-nucleotide ribosomal RNA is filed under the name uncultured bacterium. Its description in RNAcentral is "partial 16S ribosomal RNA". It matches the Rfam family "Bacterial small subunit ribosomal RNA", at positions 28 to 507 of the family's 1533-position model. The record is from RNAcentral.